UACUCGUCCCAUUAAGGAGCA
Molecule: non-coding RNA, 21 nt
Filed under: Caenorhabditis elegans
Lineage: Eukaryota; Metazoa; Nematoda; Chromadorea; Rhabditida; Rhabditidae
Source: RNAcentral